This 244-nucleotide ribosomal RNA is filed under the name uncultured bacterium. Its description in RNAcentral is "partial 16S ribosomal RNA". It matches the Rfam family "Bacterial small subunit ribosomal RNA", at positions 113 to 353 of the family's 1533-position model. The record is from RNAcentral.
ACACGUGGGCAACCUACCUCAUAGAGGGGAAUAGCCUUCCGAAAGGGAGAUUAAUACCGCAUAAGAUUGUAGUACCGCAUGGUACAGCAAUUAAAGGAGCAAUCCGCUAUGAGAUGGGCCCGCGGCGCAUUAGCUAGUUGGUGAGGUAACGGCUCACCAAGGCGACGAUGCGUAGCCGACCUGAGAGGGUGAUCGGCCACAUUGGGACUGAGACACGGCCCAGACUCCUACGGGAGGCAGCAUG